UAAGGUGACUAUAAAAUUUUAAUAUUUAGUCAUUAAUGCAACACGAGUAUAAAGAUAGUCCAUAUUACAUAUAGUUAACACAAAUAUGAUUUAGUCCUAUCCUACUCGCUACUCAAGCAUUAGGGAGCUCACUCAUGUGAUAUGGUCAAUCAAAAAGCUUGUUGACAUUAUUACGUGCCUAAUUAUAUGAUUAUGUUCAUGACCAUUUCAUAAGAAAAUAAAAAUUUUUAUUUCAUAAAUGAUCAAUACACAUAAACAUAUGUCCAUUACGUAU
RNAcentral lists this long non-coding RNA (274 nucleotides) under Carica papaya (papaya). Its description in RNAcentral is "long non-coding RNA (CPAP_LNC004484)". Lineage: Eukaryota; Viridiplantae; Streptophyta; Magnoliopsida; Brassicales; Caricaceae. The record is from RNAcentral.